This 371-nucleotide ribosomal RNA is filed under the name uncultured organism. Its description in RNAcentral is "partial 16S ribosomal RNA". It matches the Rfam family "Bacterial small subunit ribosomal RNA", at positions 527 to 896 of the family's 1533-position model. The record is from RNAcentral.
GUAGGUGGCAAGCGUUGUCCGGAAUUAUUGGGCGUAAAGCGCGCGCAGGCGGUUCUUUAAGUCUGAUGUGAAAGCCCACGGCUCAACCGUGGAGGGUCAUUGGAAACUGGAGAACUUGAGUACAGAAGAGGAAAGCGGAAUUCCACGUGUAGCGGUGAAAUGCGUAGAGAUGUGGAGGAACACCAGUGGCGAAGGCGGCUUUCUGGUCUGUAACUGACGCUGAGGCGCGAAAGCGUGGGGAGCAAACAGGAUUAGAUACCCUGGUAGUCCACGCCGUAAACGAUGAGUGCUAAGUGUUAGGGGGUUUCCGCCCCCCUUAGUGCUGCAGCUAACGCAUUAGCACUCCGCCUGGGAGUACGGCCGCAAGGCUG